UAGACACUUCCUGACCUUUACGUCUGAUACAUUCUUUGAGAGAACUUCUCCACCGACCCCGUCACCUGGAUUGGAUCACCGACCUCUCCCAAGAGGGGCCUGGCUUCCUCCUCGCUGGGGAAACGGUCUUAGGUCUAGUGGAAGCUGCUUCGGAGCCAUGGAGAAAAGGCAGCCUGCGCUGAUUGACCAUGAGCCUAAGUACACUGCAUGAACCUUUGGAAGUACCUCUUCUAUGUCUGCCUGAACAAUCAUACCUCAUUAAACAUAAGAUGAAAUAAAGACAUUUCAAGUCAGAGAAGAGUUGAUCAAUUUCCUGCCACAGAAUGACAUUAAACAGUAAAAGAAGUUUCUUGAGCUGAAAGAAAAGUCCAGAAGAUCCUACAGGAGAUUCCACUGGCCCUUUAAGCAAGAAACGACUUCACAGUUGAAACCUUGGUUUGGAAGACUCUUGUUUCAAAUCUCGGCAGCAUCCAAUGAGCCCUCCUCAU
RNAcentral lists this long non-coding RNA (488 nucleotides) under Homo sapiens (human). Its description in RNAcentral is "non-protein coding lnc-THBS2-5:9". The record is from RNAcentral. Lineage: Eukaryota; Metazoa; Chordata; Mammalia; Primates; Hominidae.